UGUAACAAUCGAUAAUUACUCAAUGUAAAUUUAGUAUAUAAGAGAUAUGGUUAAGGCAGCAAGGGGUCAGUGGUGGUGAUCGUGUGACUCGAUCACCAAUGGACGUCGCGUUCAAAUAAAGUAUUUUACAUCAUUUUUGGUUUCACCUUAUUUUGGUAUACAUCUGAGUAAUAGGAGUCUACGACAUAUCCUAUAACUCCUAUAAACUGACAGUCUAAUCUAAUCUAUAAAGUUUAUCAAGAUUCCCAGAGCAUUAUUCCAUCUAUUUAUAGAAAGUUUAUCAAAAUCUUUACUAAGUUUGAAAAUUAUUUCUUUUAUUGAGAUAAAUAUUGACAAGAUAAUUUGACAAGAUUGUGCUGACUGUGGUCAGUGACUUUACUGCAGUGUGUUCUUGACUCUUCUUGGCUCUUGAGCAAAGUUAAAGUUUCCAAGUUCUUAAAUACUAAUAUAAUAAAUCUUAAAAUAAUGGAAAUAAUCAAAUCGAAUAAAGGUUCAGACAAAAUUUGUUACCAAGGCUACAUGUAUACGUUAAAACAUGCUGGCAAGCAAUAUGAUACAUGGAGGUGUACAAAAAAAAGUUCUCUUAAUUGUCCAGCUAUUUUGAGAAUUUCAAUUUUAAAAACGGAACCUAUGAUUACAACGCCUCAUAGCCAUAUAGCUGAACCGACACAUAUUGAAGUGGCUAAAGUUAUGGCUAAAAUUAAAGUAAAAGCUGCUCAGUCAAGUGUAAAUCCAUCUCAGAUUCCAUCAAAAAUCCAUUGGAUCCAAAAACAAUUAAAGAAUGUGAAUUUUUAGAUGAGUGGAGUACAACUGGUCAUCCUCAUUAUAAACGAUUACUUUUUGAUGACAAUGGGACCGAAGCACCAGAACGUGUCGUUAUGUUUGCUACUGAUGAUGGGUUAAAAAUUUAGCUGAUGCUUCAAGAUG
Long non-coding RNA from Aphis gossypii (cotton aphid), 927 nucleotides. RefSeq lists it as uncharacterized. The record is from RefSeq and is a predicted model, not a curated record. Lineage: Eukaryota; Metazoa; Arthropoda; Insecta; Hemiptera; Aphididae. The transcript is spliced from 2 exons.